Equus caballus (horse) is the source of this 3202-nucleotide long non-coding RNA. NCBI's taxonomy places the organism in Eukaryota, Metazoa, Chordata, Mammalia, Perissodactyla, Equidae. The record is from Ensembl.
GUCUGGUACACAUGUCCUUUCUUUUCUGAUAAACUCAAUUUUCUCUACCUUGUUAUAUAUCCAGGGAUGUUUUCAAUCCUCAGCUGAUGGUUUGGCAGCUCAUAUGGAUGGGUGCCUCAGGCAGCCGUUGUGCCAACCUGCUAUUGAAUCUGGAACUGAAUAUUGGAGGGAGCAACUCCAGGAGGGCAGCCAGGGAGUGGUGAGAGAGCAUAGAUCACUGUGUGGCAGAAAAAUGGGGAAGGAGGGCACUACAAUGAAAGUAUAACUCUGGGGCUGAAAAAUAUUAGGCUCCAAUUCACAAUCUGUCUUGGCCUAGUCUCGAGUACAGCUGUAGUAACAUAUGAAUUGUCAGUUGCUCCCAUCUCUGACUUCUCAUAGCACAUAGCAUGUCUUUAUAAUAACACGUCACACGCAGUACUACAAUUAUCAAUUCACUUGUCUGUUCCUACUACUAAACUGAAGCCAGGACUAUGACAUUAUUGUGUGUGUGUACGUAGUACUGAUUAUUGGACUUCAUGGGAGACCCAAUAAAAAGCAUCUCUCAUCCCCAUUCCCCAAAUUCUGUACAAAUUGAUAGGCAAGAUAAAGAAGUAAUAGCAAACACUCACAUAGUACUUUCCUAAGCACUUUCCAUUAACUCUUUUAACAUAUAACAAUCUUGUAAAAGUAGAUACAGGUUUUCCCCCAUUUUACACAAGAGGAAAUUGAGAAAUAGGUUAAGUAGUUUGACAAAGACUAUCUAGCAUAUAAAUAGAAGUCUUUCCAGCAUCUAUGACAAGGCAGAGAGAGUUCAAAACGUCAACUUUUUCAAUUAUAGAAGUGACAGAGAUUGUGGUUUAAGUGAAAAGCAACAACAGAUUUCAUAAUACUGCACCUCAAUCUUGAAUAGCAUGACAAAACUGUAGUCCUCCCCAAGAGAAGCUUCAAGCACUAAGCUUAGCUCAUGGCCAAGAGCAGAGAAGAACGUAGGCUCUCUGAAGGCAGAAAGAGCCCAAAAGGAGAGCAAAGAAAGGACUGAGCAUCCCUGGUUCUUCUCCCUGUCUCCCCAACUUGAUCAUUCAUUCCACCUGCCUUGAAAGGGAGUGAGUAAGAUGAGAGGAGAGGAGCCAAGAGGUUAUGCUGAUGGAUGUUGCUUCCCUUGGGAACAUGAACCAGGAUAACGGAUGCUUUCCAAUCAAUACUCCCAAGACCUUGGUUCUCUUAACUCAUUUGGUUUAACUUUAAAUAUAUGGUCAAAAUGGUAUGGUUAUCUCCUUGAGGGAGAAUUUGGGCAGCCCAUUAGGGUCGUCUAAUUCUAUUUUUAUAAAGUUCUCCCCCAUACCAAUCCCUCCUGCAUUGAGGACUCUACUGAGGUUGCUGAUGACAGUGUAGAUGUUUCCCCACUGAAACAGGUCAUUAAUUAAAUUAAUUUUAAGACCACUGUAGCCAACCGAUAUUUGCCUGCCUAUGUUUUCCCCAUCCUGAUUUCUGUUCAAGCACACUGCCUAAUAUAACUCACCAGGAAAUUUCAAAUUAAUCCAAUAAUAAAAUUCCCAAUAUCGGAAUAUAAACUCCCUUCCAGGAUAAAAUUUUUUGGGAUAAAGUCCAUAGAUUAGAUUGUCUGGAAAGUCAAGUUCAAAUACAUCAAAAUUCAAAGUAAUUCAACUCCAAAAUCAAAUAUUCUUGUCCUCGGGUACGAAAAGCCCAAAGAAAGUGAAGUCCUUUUUGUAUUCUGCUUUCCCUUAGUUGAAGAUGUUUUCUCAAUGCCUGAAUAGAAUUUGGUUCCUUUAGCAACCACAGCCUGUGUUGUCCAUCACUGGAAUAUAGGUGGCUCCUUUGGACCACAGAAGCUGAAUUAGUUCCACAUCAAGUCCGUCAUGUACCUCACUUUUUAAAGAGUUCAAACAUUUAUUAGAACAUAAGAGAUUACUCCAGUAUGCUGUAAACCUAACAAUGUAGAAGCGAAGGUAAUUCCCAGUCCUCAAGCCCUCAUCUCAGGCAAAGAAACCCAGAACUUAGGGCUGCCGAAGAAUACAGCAAAGAGUCAAUGAUAUCUGAGAGAAGGGGGUAUAUGGGCGAAAUUUUGAUUCCGCCUCCAAAGGAGGUCAAUCAGGCCAUGCCUGCUCAAGAAAACCAUCACCUGCAAAUUUAAACUCUGUUGAGAGGUCUUUUUAAACAACAGUUAAUUUGGGCACAGUACUUCUAUCAUAUCUGAGAGGGAACUCCACCUAUGAGUUCUAUCUCCCAUCCCAGAAAGCGCCAUUUGACAUAGCAUGUGUUCUAGAGUUUAGAAAUUUGCAACGGUAGCAGUCCAAUCAUCAAGUCUUUUCCGAGGUAUCAUUGUUUCCCAUUCAAUGUAUUUAAACGUUCCUGAUUUCCAUUUCUCCUUUGAUUCCUGUGUCCCUGGCACCCUGGUCCUCUACUGAGUAUGACUCUUUCUAGAAGCAUAUUCCCAUACCCUCAUGCUAGCAGACAUUCUUACUCCUAUGCCUCAGUGUCUGUUAACAGAGCCCUUGCUAUGGAAUUUAAGGGGCCUAUGAAAACUGCCCCCUAGAGAAAGUUCUCCCUUUCCCUCCCUGGGUUUCAGCAGGACCAACGUCCUAGAACUGAGCUGCUGUUACUGCUUUGGAAACGUGUAUGUGAGGACCAAACUCUCUGACAUGUGCUCUUCAAAUACAGGAAAACACAGAAAGAGCUUAGGAAUUAACUAAUCCAGAACCAGUCUGGAGCCAAUUUGAGUGUUUGUAGGGGGGUAGGAGUGGUGAUACAGAGCCUGUGAGGCAACUGCCACUGGCAGCAUUAUCUUUUCUACGAGAGAGACCUGAGUCAUAGAGAAGUCGAUUAUGAGCUAAAACUAGAAAAACUUUGGCAUCUUAGUGCCAGGCUGUAAAGCAGAAGUUAGACGAAAUGAGUGUUACAGUUUCACAAAAGGGACACUUAAAACUGGCAGUUCCUGAGUCACUUCCACAGGUCGGGCCCUGCACGAGGCCUGGCGUGGUCACAACGACAGAGAAACAGGCCCUGCUCUUUCUUCAGGCUUGUGGCUAAGGGAGAGUUGACUGUCUUAAUCCUUGCUUCUUCCUUUCUUUUGUUUGGAUGCUUUCAUGGGUCUCUCUUACAUCAAAGGGAAUAAUCUUCAUUAAAGUCCAUCUUUCUUCUAAAAAUAAAAAGGUCAGAGUAUAAAUUCAAGAUCUGUUCUGUUUUAGGAGGAGGAAACAAAAAG